Molecule: transfer RNA, 61 nt
Filed under: Setaria labiatopapillosa
Lineage: Eukaryota; Metazoa; Nematoda; Chromadorea; Rhabditida; Setariidae
Description: tRNA-Leu
Source: RNAcentral
AUGAGACUUUUUAGUAUAAUAAGUAUAAUCGUUUUAAGAUCGGUUGGUUUUUAAGUCAUUU